This 2264-nucleotide long non-coding RNA is filed under the name Heterocephalus glaber (naked mole-rat). Its description in RNAcentral is "lncRNA (ENSHGLG00100052554.1)". The record is from RNAcentral. Lineage: Eukaryota; Metazoa; Chordata; Mammalia; Rodentia; Bathyergidae.
CCAAGAUCUUGGAACAUCUGGGCUCCCAAGGUCCCUAGAGAGGAAGUGAAAAGGGUGGGGACCCCUUACACAUAUAGGUGCAGCCACACAACCAGGACAUGGGGUGAGAACAAGUCCUAACGAUGAAGGGUGCACAAGAUGACAGGGAACACUAGGGAGGCGGCCCCUGAAUGUGGGCCUCCCGCCUCCACUCCCAAGUUCUAACCCAAUCAAGUGACUAUUAUAAAACUUAGGUAUUUCUAUGUAUUUAUAUAUGUACAUGUCACCUACAAUUUGGAUGGUUUUCAGGGGUCCACUUUUCCUCAAGCCUGUCUGGCUGAUGCUUUUCUGUAGAAGGAAAGGACUUGCCUCUACCAAACAGUGAUGAACACUGUAGGGGGCCAGGGAUGUAGCUCAGUGGCACGGCGCCUGCCUGGCAAGUACAAGGUCCUGAGUCCAAUUCCUGGUGCUGGGGGGAAAAAAACAUUGUAGGAAACUAGGCCAGGGCUCACCACUGCCAUAGAGAAUGUGGAGAUACUAUCCCCGGGAAAAGGUCCUACAAUAUUCAGUCUAGUGGAGAAAAGAUGAGGCCAACUUAGAGGAGGGGGGAGAGAAACAGAAAGGAGAUUGAGUCUGUGCUAGCAGACAAGUUACAUUUUCAACAACAGAGCAUCAUGGAACAAAUACGGCCAGGGAAGGAGUCAAUGCAGAAGUUAAUGCUUCUUCUAGUGCAGAAGCCAGCCCUGCCCACAGAAGUGGCAGCCUCCCUCCCGAGAUGGCAGAUAUGAAGCCACAGCACUAAUGCCAGGUCCGUCCUGAGCAGCAUUCAAAGCUGCCAUCCACUCUCAGCUGGGAUGAGAAGUGAUGGAGCCAUGGUGUCACUAUUCCCUCCCACAUUUCCCUAAAGCGAAAUACAAAGUGAGGAAAAUCUAAAGGAACCACAGCCAUGAAAACUCAAAUGUCCCUCACCAUAUGAAUACAGCAAUUCCUCAAGGACUGAACGAGGACCUAAGCGGACAGCAGAACAAACGAGAAAGGGUGGGGCUGGAGAUUUAGCUCAGUGGUUUCGCCUCCUGCCCCACAAGCACAAAGUCCCGAGUUUGAUCUCUGGUACCAAGAAAAAAAAAAGGUGGCACUGACAAAGGCAGCAGAGAAGCCAGGGAGCCAGGUUGAUUGCCAGCAUGCUCAGGGGAGAUGAGGGGACGCAUCCUGAGGAAGGACCCUCUGAUGUACUGCUACAUCUUCUACUGAGGAGUGUCAUCUUUUCCUUGGAGACAACACUUUUACUGAGGAGUCCCGUGUUUAUUAAAUUAUCAAUCUGCAGGCACAGCUUGAGCAAGAUAAAAAAGGGAUCUUCUUGAGUCAUACAAUCAUCUAGAUUCAAAAGCACUCACAAAAUUGAGCAAACAAAGCCAGCAUUUGCAUAUUAGGGGAAUAUAUUGCUGCUGGGAAGCCAAAGGCCUGGUCAAAAAUAAAUGCUCUAUAUUAAGUAGUAAAAUAACGGAGAAUUCAUCCCCUACACCACCACCUCCACAGAGAUCCAUGGUUAUUGCAGCUGCAAGGGAAGCUAUGGCAAAGUCACCCUGGAACAGAGAGCAGCCUGAGAAGCAGACGCAUUGGCACAUAAUUCAAGGGUUCCCCCAUCCCAAACAGCCUUUGCUCCCUGGAGAUGCACUGGAAGCUCUACCUGCCACUCCAGGAAAGGCAGAAGCAGUAGGGCAGGUGAGCAACAGCUCUUCCCUUUCCAAGACGGAUAGUAAGGCACACAGACACAAGCCUCACUAAGGGAACGAGAAGGGCGAGGUGCAGGACAGGACAGGGCCCGCCUCGAGAGGAAGGGGUGGCUCGCCGGGAAGAGCCUCCAACUGCAAGCCUGUCAUCCUGGGCACGGGAUGCACUGGGAGGUGCAUGGUCCCAUCCCUCCUGUCAGUCUCAGACAGGAGCAGAUGCAUAUGACCACAAGGAUGCUGGGCCCUUCCAAAUGUCCUGUGGGUUGCUGUCAGCUCUGGUCCACACCACCAGCUGAGGUUUCCUGUGGGGCUCGUCGUGAAUGUCCCCAAGGCCCCCACAUCAGGUUGUCUGCAGUGAUGUUGAAGUCCCCUACAUGGCAGGCUCACGGCAGAGCCCCAGGGGCGACAGGGCAGCCGAGUCUGCACAAGGCACUCCUCAGAUCAACAAAUGGUUCCCAGGAAACGACGGCCCCAGGAGGCUGUGGGACAGGCACACUGGUCCUUCUGGUGAGAAACAAGAACCCUGGUGUUCCCUCCGCCACUCUCUGGUGGGGC